Molecule: long non-coding RNA, 875 nt
Organism: Melanotaenia boesemani (Boeseman's rainbowfish)
Lineage: Eukaryota; Metazoa; Chordata; Actinopteri; Atheriniformes; Melanotaeniidae
Exons: 8
Source: RefSeq, a predicted model, not a curated record
GAUAUGGACGCUAAACGGCCUCAUGGCGUCAAGGUGAAGUUGUUUUAGUGAGACACAAAAACUUAAGAAGGAAAAAAACGAAGGACAAAAGGACAACCAGAGGAUAAAGGAGUGACUGUGGAAUAUUUCGGAGCUCCAGGCAUUAAAGCAGAGGGAGCUUCAGCUCCAGGACCUAUAUAUUGUUCAGGACCCACUUUCUGACCAGGAAAUACCAGAUGCAGACUGACCAGUAAGCAGCUGGGACCUCGUCAUCAGAGACUCAAAUGUCAUAAACCAGUAGAUCCAGCUGACUGCCUGUUAGUUCUCUUUGAUAUGUAAAUGCAUGUGAACAGCAGGCGGGAACCGUAGACCUCAGUCUGGAUCCAUCUGGACACUUAACAGAUCAAACUGCAGCUUGAGUCUGUGGCUGUUUGCAGAGAAAAAACUCAGUUCCUUAUCUACAACAGAGGAAGUGCACACAUUCAUACUUUGAUCUCCUUUACUGUAAGGGCAUAUCCACAACACACAUUUCCUCUGGCCAAUGAAUGCCUCAGGAGCUGGAGACUGUUGUUGGAGAGAGGGAUGUCUGGGUUUUCCUCCUGGACCUGUAGCUUCUGCACCUCACCUCAGAUAAGUGUUUGUCCUCUUUGUAGCUGUGCUCAGCGGAUCUGCGUCCUCUGAAGUGGUAUGACAGGGCGUUAAACUGACCCUUGGUUCUGCAGUCUGCAGGGGUGUCAAAACCAGAGGGUCCAGACUGGCUCUGAGAUGAAUUUGCCGUUUGUACUGCACUACCAGCAGACACAUGAGGGUGGGCCCCAAUCUGCUGCCAGGGACCAGGUCUUCAGCCAUCAGAGCCGGAAACAGAUCAAUGUUGAGAGGAGAACCGUACAGUCUGC